This 395-nucleotide ribosomal RNA is filed under the name uncultured Glomeromycotina. Its description in RNAcentral is "SSU rRNA". It matches the Rfam family "Eukaryotic small subunit ribosomal RNA", at positions 569 to 969 of the family's 1831-position model. Lineage: Eukaryota; Fungi; Glomeromycota. The record is from RNAcentral.
AGCAGCCGCGGUAAUUCCAGCUCCAAUAGCGUAUAUUAAAGUUGCUGCAGUUAAAAAGCUCGUAGUUGAAUUUCGGGGUUAGUAGGUUGGUCAUGCCUCUGGUAUGUACUGGUCUCACUGAUUCCUCCUUCCUGAUGAACUGUAAUGCCAUUAAUUUGGUGUUGCAGGGAAUCUGGACUGUUACUUUGAAAAAAUUAGAGUGUUUAAAGCAGGCUAACGCCUGAAUACAUUAGCAUGGAAUAAUGAAAUAGGACGUUCGAUCCUAUUUUGUUGGUUUCUAGGAUUGACGUAAUGAUUAAUAGGGAUAGUUGGGGGCAUUAGUAUUCAAUUGUCAGAGGUGAAAUUCUUGGAUUUAUUGAAGACUAACUCUGCGAAAGCAUUUGCCAAGGAUGUUU